Molecule: transfer RNA, 65 nt
Filed under: Proechimys steerei (Steere's spiny-rat)
Lineage: Eukaryota; Metazoa; Chordata; Mammalia; Rodentia; Echimyidae
Description: tRNA-Lys
Source: RNAcentral
CACUGUGAAGCUAAGUAGCAUUAACCUUUUAAGUUAAAGAUUGAGAAAUAAACUCUCCACAGUGA